GACGAACGCUGGCGGCGUGCUUAACACAUGCAAGUCGAACGGAAAGGCCCUGCUUUUGUGGGGUGCUCGAGUGGCGAACGGGUGAGUAACACGUGAGUAACCUGCCCUUGACUUUGGGAUAACUUCAGGAAACUGGGGCUAAUACCGGAUAGGAGCUCCUGCUGCAUGGUGGGGGUUGGAAAGUUUCGGCGGUUGGGGAUAGACUCGCGGCUUAUCAGCUUGUUGGUGGGGUAGUGGCUUACCAAGGCUAUGACGGGUAGCCGGCCUGGGAGGGUGACCGGGCACAUUGGGACUGAGAUACGGCCCAGACUCCUACGGGAGGCAGCAGUGGGGAAUAUUGCACAAUGGGCGGAAGCCUGAUGCAGCAACGCCGCGUGCGGGAUGACGGCCUUCGGGUUGUAAACCGCUUUCGCCUGUGACGAAGCGUGAGUGACGGUAAUGGGUAAAGAAGCACCGGCUAACUACGUG
This 468-nucleotide ribosomal RNA is filed under the name uncultured bacterium. RNAcentral describes it as "partial 16S ribosomal RNA". It matches the Rfam family "Bacterial small subunit ribosomal RNA", at positions 28 to 507 of the family's 1533-position model. The record is from RNAcentral.